GGAUAGAGUCGGCGUAUCUUGCAAGUAUUCAAUUACUUUAUUAUUGUGUUGUUAUCUCUGAGCUCCAGAUUGGGACAGAGGAAAGCAGCAUGAUUUAAUGUGAUGCAUUUACUUGUCUGGUGUGUGGGGGUAUCUAAGAUGGAUUUGCAACCAAUGUUUUGAGGCCAGCUUGCUGGUACCCAAACAUUGUUAACAUUUUUUAUCUUGGAUAUUCGAGUACGGCUUACGUGCAUUUUUUGUAUUGAUCUAAGUGCAAGUUACGGUCGCAUGCGACACGUGCUUUUCAUUUAGUUCGGUGCAGUUAAUG
RNAcentral lists this ribosomal RNA (307 nucleotides) under Meloidogyne hapla. RNAcentral describes it as "partial large subunit ribosomal RNA". The record is from RNAcentral. Lineage: Eukaryota; Metazoa; Nematoda; Chromadorea; Rhabditida; Meloidogynidae.